This 1176-nucleotide long non-coding RNA is filed under the name Homo sapiens (human). RNAcentral's name for it is "HSALNT0243759". The record is from RNAcentral. Lineage: Eukaryota; Metazoa; Chordata; Mammalia; Primates; Hominidae.
CGACGCCCCGCGAUCUGCGGUAAAUCACAUUCCUUGCGAUUCUGCAAUCACAGCCCCGGAAGAAGGAGGUGGGCCGUUCUCGCAUUGCUGUAAAGGAAUACCUCAGACUGGGUAAUUUAUAAAGGAAGAGGAUUCAUUGGCUCACAGUUCUGCAGGCUGUACAGGAAGCGUAGCAGCAUCUGCUUCUUGGAAGGCCUCAGGAAGCUCCCGAUCAUGGCAGAAGGCAAAGAGGGAGCAGAUGCAUCACACGGCGAAAGCAGGAGCAACAGGAGCAGGAGGUGCCACACACUUUUUUUUUUUUUUUUUUUUUGAGAUGGAGUCUCGCUCUGUCGCCCAGACUGGAUGAAGUGGCGCGAUCUUGGCUCACUGUAACCUCUGCCGCCUGGGUUCAAGCGAUUCUAGUGCCUCAUCCUCCCGAGUAGCUGGGAGGCCUCCACAAUCACCGAUCACUGUGUCCAAGGGAGAAGGUGCUGGAGGAGCGUGUUCUGCUCCUCAAGACUGUGGCUCAGAAGCAACACAUGUCUCUUCUACUCCCAUUGGCCAGAAUUAGUCACAUGGCCCCAACCUAACUGCAGUGGUGGCUGAGAGUGUUGUCUUCCUGAGUACCCAGAAAGAGGAAAAUGCAAAAAGAUUUGGUGAAAAUAUAGCAUUGUCUUUGCCAUAACAAACAUACUUCCUUUGUUGAUUUUUUUAAAUCAAAGGCAAUAAUUGGAGAUAAAUGUGUUAUAUCUCCUCUUGGAGAAUAUUUUGUUGUCAUGUUAAAAGCCUCUGAAAAGUCUUGCUGUAAAUAUGGAACUUUUAUUUAAUCUGGCAUUUCCCAGAUUUGGUGAUUGAGGCCUUUUAAAUAAUUUAAUAGCUUUGGAAUUAAUAUUUGGAGAUAUAAACUUUGGGAAAUUGCCCUAAAUGUGUCAACUGGUGAGUCCAAAUCUGUGGGGGGAAAAUGAUGAGCAAAGAGAUGAGUAAUGUGUUCUACAAAAGUAGAGGACAGUCAGGUGCAGUGGCUCAGGCCUGUAAUCUCAGCACUUUGGGAGGCUGAGGUGGGCAGAUCACCUGUUAGGAGUUCAAGACCAGCCUGGCCAACAUGGUGAAACCCUGUUUCUACUAAAAAUAUAAAAAUUAGCCGGGGGUUGUGGCGGACACCUGUAAUCCCAGCUUCUAGGGAGGCUGAGGCAGGGG